Molecule: ribosomal RNA, 18 nt
Filed under: Plasmopara halstedii
Lineage: Eukaryota; Oomycota; Peronosporomycetes; Peronosporales; Peronosporaceae
Description: partial 18S ribosomal RNA
Source: RNAcentral
UGUAGGUGUACCUGCAGA